This 319-nucleotide long non-coding RNA is filed under the name Homo sapiens (human). Its description in RNAcentral is "non-protein coding lnc-RWDD3-5:3". The record is from RNAcentral. Lineage: Eukaryota; Metazoa; Chordata; Mammalia; Primates; Hominidae.
GGAGAGACAGGCAAGCUGCAAAGGGAAGUCGACGAAAUAAAAUUAAAGCCCUACAAUCGUGUUCGUGUCAAUGUAGAUGGGGUGCCCCCCUCGGUUUGCUCACAGAGGUGGGUGUGAGAUCCUACAGGACGGUCUGGAAGACAUCCCAUGGAAGGCACUUUAUUUUGCCCAGAAGCUGGAGGAAAAGCAGAAGGAUACAUGACAAAUUGGAGAACUUCAACGCAGUGAAAUACAGAACUGAAAGUGCUGUAACAAUUAAGAGCUUUCUUGGCACCAGAAGCAGCCUUCCAUCAGCUUCAGUGCUCAGCCUGCAUUCCCC